UGAUGCAGCGACGCCGCGUGAGCGAUGAAGCCCUUCGGGGUGUAAAGCUCUUUCGGCAGGGACGAUGAUGACGGUACCUGCAGAAGCAGCUGCGGCUAACUACGUGCCAGCAGCCGCGGUAAUACGUAGGGGGGCAAGCGUUGUCCGGAUUUAUUGGGCGUAAAGAGCGUGUAGGCGGCCGCACAGGUCCGUUGUGAAAACUGGAGGCUUAACCUUCAGACGUCGAUGGAAACCGUGCGGCUAGAGUCCGGAAGAGGAGAAUGGAAUUCCUGGUGUAGCGGUGAAAUGCGCAGAUAUCAGGAAGAACACCCGUGGCUAAGGCGGUUCUCUAGUACGGUACUGACGCUGAGACGCGAAAGCGUGGGGAGCGAACAGGAUUAGAUACCCUGGUAGUCCACGCCGUAAACGAUGGGUGCUAGGUGUGGGGGGUGUCGACUCCCCCCGUGCCGAAGCUAACGCAUUAAGCACCCCGCCUGGGGAGUACGGUCGCAAGACUG
RNAcentral lists this ribosomal RNA (497 nucleotides) under uncultured bacterium. RNAcentral's name for it is "bacterial SSU rRNA". It matches the Rfam family "Bacterial small subunit ribosomal RNA", at positions 384 to 896 of the family's 1533-position model. The record is from RNAcentral.